This 492-nucleotide ribosomal RNA is filed under the name uncultured bacterium. RNAcentral's name for it is "partial 16S ribosomal RNA". It matches the Rfam family "Bacterial small subunit ribosomal RNA", at positions 29 to 507 of the family's 1533-position model. The record is from RNAcentral.
AGUGAACGCUGGCGGUAGGCCUAACACAUGCAAGUCGAACGGCAGCACAGUAAGAGCUUGCUCUUACGGGUGGCGAGUGGCGGACGGGUGAGGAAUACAUCGGAAUCUACUUUUUCGUGGGGGAUAACGUAGGGAAACUUACGCUAAUACCGCAUACGACCUACGGGUGAAAGCAGGGGAUCUUCGGACCUUGCGCGAUUGAAUGAGCCGAUGUCGGAUUAGCUAGUUGGCGGGGUAAAGGCCCACCAAGGCGACGAUCCGUAGCUGGUCUGAGAGGAUGAUCAGCCACACUGGAACUGAGACACGGCCCAGACUCCUACGGGAGGCAGCAGUGGGGAAUAUUGGACAAUGGGCGCAAGCCUGAUCCAGCCAUACCGCGUGGGUGAAGAAGGCCUUCGGGUUGAAAAGCCCUUUUGUUGGGAAAGAAAAGCAGCAGGUUAAUACCCCGCUGUUCUGACGGUACCCAAAGAAUAAGCACCGGCUAACUUCGUG